UACGUAGGGUGCGAGCGUUGUCCGGAAUUACUGGGCGUAAAGAGCUCGUAGGCGGUUUGUCGCGUCGUCUGUGAAAUUCUGCAACUCAAUUGUAGGCGUGCAGGCGAUACGGGCAGACUUGAGUACUACAGGGGAGACUGGAAUUCCUGGUGUAGCGGUGAAAUGCGCAGAUAUCAGGAGGAACACCGGUGGCGAAGGCGGGUCUCUGGGUAGUAACUGACGCUGAGGAACGAAAGCGUGGGUAGCGAACAGG
RNAcentral lists this ribosomal RNA (253 nucleotides) under uncultured bacterium. Its description in RNAcentral is "partial 16S ribosomal RNA". It matches the Rfam family "Bacterial small subunit ribosomal RNA", at positions 524 to 776 of the family's 1533-position model. The record is from RNAcentral.